Molecule: long non-coding RNA, 1698 nt
Organism: Folsomia candida
Lineage: Eukaryota; Metazoa; Arthropoda; Collembola; Entomobryomorpha; Isotomidae
Exons: 4
Source: RefSeq, a predicted model, not a curated record
UUUGGUUCAAAUUUGUGAGCAUAUGUACGUUGGGAGACCUCCAUUGUUAGUCCAUAUUAACCUUAACUUGAAAAUGAAUAAAAUUAACGCAUUAAUUCGUGCGGUAAGUUUCGACUUUGCAUAGGCAACUUAUAAUUCAGAGGGUGUUUAUUUACGUUGGAAAAAGUAGCCUUAUUUUUAAGAGUGUAGUGCAUAAAUACGAGGAUCUCAUACCGCAUCACAAUUUUACAUAUUGGGUGACAUUCUUGGUGCACACCGUCCCCCAUUGUAUUUCAUUCUGGGCCUUUAUUGUUUUGGUUUUUAUCGUUUUUUAAACAAGUCGUAAAACAUUGCGUGGAUUGAAUAGAGGCCAAAUUUCUUUCACUCAGCUCAGAAAUAUGUUCAGCUUAAAGUGAAAAAUUUAUUUUAUCUUAAAUAUUUUAGUUAUUUAAUUUCGUCGUCCAGAAAUUUACUACAAGGCUUCAUCUUAAAAGGUCACAAGUUUCAGAUUAGUUAGAAAUUAUGAAAAAUUUGUAUGUAAUAUACCAACCCGUUCGGAUUAUGGAACGGUGACGUGGCAUGCCAACGUGGCACACACUCCCGUCACAAUUCAGUGACGUGGAGGAGGAAGGUCAUGUAAGUAUUUUUUAAGAAUGUACAUACUUAUACGGACACACAUAGGUACAUAAAUAGCAAAUGCAGAAAUAUAUACGAAAUUUGUGUGAUUUAUUUUGUUCAGAAUUGAGUAAGACAUUUACAGUCUAAAUAUAAACAAAAUUUGCUUAAGGUUGAGUAAAAAGGAUGAUAGCCUAACCAUGGCAAAUUUAUCCAAAUUUGUGUAAAAUUUGUCCAAAUUCUUGUAAAACUUUUUUCCAACGUGUGGAUAAAUUUUUAAAUUGUUGAUUGCGUCAUCCUUUCUCUUACUCACGACGACAAAGUUUUACAAAUUUUUAAUUAAAAUGUGAUAACUAUUCGGUUUAUAUCGCCACAAGUCUUAAUAAUGAAUUUAACAUAAAUAUCCGUAAAAAUAUUGACAAGUGAAGUACAAUUUUACAUCUUUUUCCACUACAACAUUCUCGUACAUAUGUUGAUAUUAAUAAUUUAAAAUACAUCACAAAGAAAUUUGAAAAAAAUGGCAGAAAAAUAAGGAAAAAAGUAAUAUCACAAGGAACAAAAAUGAGACGGACCCUGCAGCGCUUUCAUUUCCAGCUACCUAUACAUAUUUGCGAAUGCAGAAUGUGACAUUAAAUAAAAUUGACAUCAUAAAUUUUAAAUUUUAGUUUUGAGAUUAUAAACUUUAUUGCUGUCUUGACCUGAAAAGCUGUGUAUAACUCCUGAUUUGCGACACACGAAUAAACUACGGGGCCGUUCGUUAGGCAAGCGUCGACGUACGGAAGAGUGCCAUCUUCCCAUGCAAAUUCGAAACUAUAUCAAUACGAAACGAAUCUUCAUUCCAUAGACGAGCAUGAUUUCGCUAAUUUUGGAAAGGUUUCAAAAGAUAAAGAUUCCGGUUCAGAUGAAAUAUUCCCAAUCAACAGAUUCGACUUCCAACUUGACACCGAAAAUUUCUCAAAAUUCUUACCGGCUGGCUUUCAUCUUCCCGUUUCUUCAUCCCGUGAAGUCGAGAUUAAGUUAAGAUGUCAAGACUUAAGUAUACUUUUAAAUAGUAAAGAGCAAGUUAUACAUAAAUAAAUAAGUAGGAUUAUUUACAUAUAUGUA